This 253-nucleotide ribosomal RNA is filed under the name uncultured bacterium. RNAcentral's name for it is "partial 16S ribosomal RNA". It matches the Rfam family "Bacterial small subunit ribosomal RNA", at positions 524 to 776 of the family's 1533-position model. The record is from RNAcentral.
UACGUAGGGGGCUAGCGUUGUCCGGAAUCAUUGGGCGUAAAGAGCGGGUAGGCGGUCCGGUAAGUCCGUUGUGAAAGUCAAGGGCUCAACCCUUGAAUGCCGGCGGAUACUGUCGGGCUAGAGUCCGGAAGAGGCGAGUGGAAUUCCCGGUGUAGCGGUGAAAUGCGCAGAUAUCGGGAGGAACACCUAUGGCGAAGGCAGCUCGCUGGGACGGUACUGACGCUGAGACGCGAAAGCGUGGGGAGCAAACAGG